UUAAUAAUGUGGUUUUAAGUAUAUGAAAAUUGCAACAGACUUGACUAUUAUUAUUUAAGUGUAUUAUGUUAUGUUGUGUUGUUUUUUUUACUAAUAUAUAUACUAUGUCAUAGUUUAUAAAAAAAAAGUGUAAAGUUUUGUGCGCAGACAUUAAUUAAAAAAUUUAAUGAAAGAUGCAUGGACAAGAACUUUAUUGCAACCAAAAAGGCCUUGCCCGUGCUUUGAAAGUGGAUAAUAAGACAUGUUACAGUCAACUUAAAAUAUAUUUCUCCCGCAGUUGCCGUGGUAAAAAGCUACUUAACCUUAAUGAUAAACCAUUUACAUUAAAUAGAAAAAUUAAGGAUGCUUGCUACUGGGAAUGCGUAAAAAUGCGAUGCAAAUAUACGAAGUGUUCCGCUCGUGCAAUUACAAAAUUUGAUGAAAUUAUAUCCAUCAGAGGGGUACAUAAUCAUAAUUAAAUAUGUUUGGAUGAAAGCAGAUUAUAGCUUUACCCGCAAUCGUAGGGGUGGUCUAAAUCUUAUCCACAAAGGAUUUCAUUACACAAUUGAACGCAAGUACAGUACAACUAGAAAUUGGGUUUGUAACAAAAAUAGUAAUACUGCACUGCGAUGUCCUGCAAGAUGUAUUACUUCCGGUUUCAAUAAUAUCAAAUUUAGUCGUAAGCAACAUAAUCACGAUCCAAUUAGUAAUGAUUAAGCAAAAAACGCCAAUAAUA
Molecule: RNA transcript, 715 nt
Organism: Teleopsis dalmanni
Lineage: Eukaryota; Metazoa; Arthropoda; Insecta; Diptera; Diopsidae
Exons: 3
Source: RefSeq, a predicted model, not a curated record